UACAGAGGUCUCAAGCGUUGUUCGGAUUCAUUGGGCGUAAAGGGCGUGUAGGCGGCCUGCUAAGUCUGAUGUGAAAUCCCCUCGCUCAACGAGGGAACUGCGUCGGAUACUGGCAGACUCGAGUACCGGAGAGGAAGGUGGAAUUCCACGUGUAGCGGUGAAAUGCGUAGAGAUGUGGAGGAACACCGAUGGCGAAGGCAGCCUUCUGGGCCAAUACUGACGCUCAUGCACGAAAGCGUGGGGAGCAAACAGG
This 253-nucleotide ribosomal RNA is filed under the name uncultured bacterium. Its description in RNAcentral is "partial 16S ribosomal RNA". It matches the Rfam family "Bacterial small subunit ribosomal RNA", at positions 524 to 776 of the family's 1533-position model. The record is from RNAcentral.